RNAcentral lists this ribosomal RNA (497 nucleotides) under uncultured bacterium. Its description in RNAcentral is "partial 16S ribosomal RNA". It matches the Rfam family "Bacterial small subunit ribosomal RNA", at positions 28 to 507 of the family's 1533-position model. The record is from RNAcentral.
GAUGAACGCUGGCGGCGUGCCUAAUACAUGCAAGUCGAGCGAACAGACGAGGAGCUUGCUCCUCUGACGUUAGCGGCGGACGGGUGAGUAACACGUGGAUAACCUACCUAUAAGACUGGGAUAACUUCGGGAAACCGGAGCUAAUACCGGAUAAUAUAUUGAACCGCAUGGUUCAAUAGUGAAAGACGGUUUUGCUGUCACUUAUAGAUGGAUCCGCGCCGCAUUAGCUAGUUGGUAAGGUAACGGCUUACCAAGGCAACGAUGCGUAGCCGACCUGAGAGGGGGAUCGGCCACCCUGGAACUGGGACACGGUCCAGACUCCUACGGGAGGCCGCAGUAGGGAAUCUUCCGCAAUGGGCGAAAGCCUGACGGAGCAACGCCGCGUGAGUGAUGAAGGUCUUCGGAUCGUAAAACUCUGUUAUUAGGGAAGAACAAAUGUGUAAGUAACUAUGCACGUCUUGACGGUACCUAAUCAGAAAGCCACGGCUAACUACGUG